RNAcentral lists this ribosomal RNA (468 nucleotides) under uncultured bacterium. Its description in RNAcentral is "partial 16S ribosomal RNA". It matches the Rfam family "Bacterial small subunit ribosomal RNA", at positions 28 to 507 of the family's 1533-position model. The record is from RNAcentral.
GACGAACGCUGGCGGCGUGCUUAACACAUGCAAGUCGAACGGAAAGGCCCUGCUUUUGUGGGGUGCUCGAGUGGCGAACGGGUGAGUAACACGUGAGUCACCUGCCCUUUACUUUGGGAUAACUUCAGGAAACUGGGGCUAAUACCGGAUAGGAGCUCCUGCUGCAUGGUGGUGGUUGGAAAGUUUCGGCGGUUGUGGAUGGACUCGCGGCUUAUCAGCUUGUUGGUGGGGUAGUGGCUUACCAAGGCUUUGACGGGUAGCCGGCCUGAGAGGGUGACCGGCCACAUUGGGACUGAGAUACGGCCCAGACUCCUACGGGAGGCAGAAGUGGGGAAUAUUGCACAAUGGGCGGAAGCCUGAUGCAGCAACGCCGCGUGCGGGAUGACGGCCUUCGGGUUGUAAACCGCUUUCGCCUGUGACGAAGCGUGAGUGACGGUAAUGGGUAAAGAAGCACCGGCUAACUACGUG